RNAcentral lists this long non-coding RNA (263 nucleotides) under Elaeis guineensis (African oil palm). RNAcentral describes it as "long non-coding RNA (EGUI_LNC075993)". Lineage: Eukaryota; Viridiplantae; Streptophyta; Magnoliopsida; Arecales; Arecaceae. The record is from RNAcentral.
CUAAGACACAAACCAUAACACAUUGGGUUAAUGGGUUAGUGGGAAUUAGGUCCAUUAAUUGGGUUAGACCUAAGGUUAGAUUGAAGAUGGACUUAAUUAGAGAAUUGACUAAAUCUAAUCAAUUAUUGUCUUAGAUUAGGUCAAGGAUUCUCUAGAUCAAUUACAAUAGUUGUAGUUGGUCAAGUCCAUAUCUUUAAUGAGAACCAAAUGGACUUGAUUCUUGGCUAAGCGAUCUAGCACGAACUGUUAGGUUGAUCUAAUCG